This 253-nucleotide unclassified non-coding RNA is filed under the name uncultured Verrucomicrobiota bacterium. RNAcentral's name for it is "uncultured Verrucomicrobia bacterium contains 16S-23S intergenic spacer region". It matches the Rfam family "Bacterial small subunit ribosomal RNA", at positions 524 to 776 of the family's 1533-position model. The record is from RNAcentral. Lineage: Bacteria; Pseudomonadati; Verrucomicrobiota.
UACAGAGGUCUCAAGCGUUGUUCGGAUUCAUUGGGCGUAAAGGGUGCGUAGGUGGUGGCGCAAGUCUGGUGUGAAAUCUCGGAGCUCAACUCCGAAAUGGCAUUGGAUACUGCGUCGCUCGAGGACUGUAGAGGAGAGUGGAAUUCACGGUGUAGCAGUGAAAUGCGUAGAUAUCGUGAGGAAGACCAGUUGCGAAGGCGACUCUCUGGGCAGUUCCUGACACUGAGGCACGAAGGCCAGGGGAGCAAACGGG